GACGAACGCUGGCGGUGUGCUUCACACAUGCAAGUCGAACGAGGUAGCAAUACCUAGUGGCGGACGGGUGAGUAACGCGUGGGAAUCUGCCUUUAGAUGGGGGAUAACGGGCCGAAAAGUCCGCUAAUACCGCAUAUGCCGCAAGGUGAAAGGAGAAAUCCGUCUAAAGAUGAGCCCGCGUCCGAUUAGCUAGUUGGUAGAGUAAGAGCCUACCAAGGCGACGAUCGGUAGCUGGUCUGAGAGGAUGAUCAGCCACAAUGGGACUGAGACACGGCCCAUACUCCUACGGGAGGCAGCAGUGGGGAAUUUUACGCAAUGGGGGAAACCCUGACGUAGCGACACCGCGUGAGCGAAGAAGCCCUUUGGGGUGUAAAGCUCUGUCAGCUGGAACGAAAACAAUGACGGUACCAGCAGAGGAAGCAUCGGCUAACUACGUGCCAGCCGCCGCAGUAA
This 453-nucleotide ribosomal RNA is filed under the name uncultured bacterium. RNAcentral's name for it is "partial 16S ribosomal RNA". It matches the Rfam family "Bacterial small subunit ribosomal RNA", at positions 28 to 523 of the family's 1533-position model. The record is from RNAcentral.